RNAcentral lists this unclassified non-coding RNA (221 nucleotides) under Hevea brasiliensis (rubber tree). Lineage: Eukaryota; Viridiplantae; Streptophyta; Magnoliopsida; Malpighiales; Euphorbiaceae. The record is from RNAcentral.
CAUCAUUCUACCCUUCAUUUAAAAUGUCAACAAAACAAAGAUGAAAACUAAAUCAAAUUAGUUGAUCAUUUAAUAAAUCAAAUCCAUCCUUUUACCUUGAUGACACAUUUUUAGUACUUCAUGACUUCCUGAAGCUGUUGGUGGGUGAGCGGAGCCAAUGGCUCACUGCAAUUUUGGAGCCAGCCUUAUUUUUUUUUUCAAUAUUUUAUUUUCUCUCUCAU